Molecule: transfer RNA, 64 nt
Filed under: Sphaerodactylus townsendi
Lineage: Eukaryota; Metazoa; Chordata; Lepidosauria; Squamata; Sphaerodactylidae
Description: tRNA-Ala
Rfam family: tRNA
About the family: Transfer RNA (tRNA) molecules are approximately 80 nucleotides in length.
Source: RNAcentral
GGGUUCAGUGGCAGAGCAUCUGCUAGGCAAGCAGAAGAUCCAGGUUCAAUCCCUGGCAUCUCCA